Oreochromis niloticus (Nile tilapia) is the source of this 1084-nucleotide long non-coding RNA. RefSeq lists it as uncharacterized. NCBI's taxonomy places the organism in Eukaryota, Metazoa, Chordata, Actinopteri, Cichliformes, Cichlidae. The transcript is spliced from 4 exons. The record is from RefSeq and is a predicted model, not a curated record.
UUGGGAAGAGGAUUAAUGAUGGAUUGUCUGUGUUUACAGGAGAAAUGAUAGCAAUUCUAUUAGUGGUAGUGGGUGGAAGAUUUGAGGCCAUUGAAAGCAAUUAUUUGUUCAGAUUCAAGUGCAGCCUUGGUCAGUCUACAGAACGGUCAUUCGAAAGUGGUGGCGGUAAUGCACCAUGCAGUUGUUUGCCAACCGCCAAUAAUACUUACAAGAAGAAGAAGAAUUAGGUAUUCUCUGGAGCAAACCUGAAGCUGCGAGUGCUUGGUCCAAGCCGGGCAAGUUUGCACUUUUAACUUCUUUUAUGAAAGCUUGAUGCGGGCCCCAUAGCUUUCUGUUAGAACGGUGGGAAACAUUGCUUUCCUGUGAGAACCGUGUAGUGGACUCCACUGCCACUGACCAAUGUUUAUUAGGGUGUGAUGCGGACUUGUGGACAGAGUACCGAGCUGCUGCUUUGCCGAGUGGAUUUCUGGCUGUGGGCAAAGGGCCCGACACAUCAGUGUAUUUUAAUUUGUUUUAACCUGGUAUAAUUCGAUAGAUUGUGACGGCUGCGGCUGUCGAUUUUGUUUGCUUGUUUUAUUUUUCUGUAUCAGUAGGCACCACAGACAUUGAUUGUCUUUUAGUGUUUUACCCUGUUUUCAUAUAUAUAUAUCGUUGCAGACAGUGAAGGCGCUGCGUGGAAAACAAAUGCAAAUCACUGCAGCACUUGAAGACACGAGACAAAAGCUAAUUGAAUACGUGUUUGGUACUGAAAUGAAUUGUGCAAAGCAGUGGCAAGCCCUUUUGUUAAAAUAAAAGAUGAAUAUCUGUGCACCACACAUAUACAAGCAAUGUCUCCAAUAAUAUAUUCAUGCAACUUCUGGGACGAUUUUUUUCAAAUGUUCUUCAGAACUACCCCCAGCAAAGGUUAACUUUUGUGUUUAGCAGCAUAAUUCACAUUACAUUUAAGUGAAAACGUGUUCAGAGUUGCUAAAAUUUAUAAUAUUGGUUAAUUCUUGAGAUAUAGGAACAAUAAUGUUACAAUUCCUAUACCUUUGCUAGAUUUAACAAUAGUUUUUCGGUAGAAAAUUAUAUUAUAAUUUUUCUU